This 460-nucleotide ribosomal RNA is filed under the name uncultured bacterium. Its description in RNAcentral is "partial 16S ribosomal RNA". It matches the Rfam family "Bacterial small subunit ribosomal RNA", at positions 338 to 795 of the family's 1533-position model. The record is from RNAcentral.
CCUACGGGAGGCAGCAGUGAGGAAUAUUGGUCAAUGGACGAGAGUCUGAACCAGCCAAGUAGCGUGAAGGAUGACUGCCCUAUGGGUUGUAAACUUCUUUUAUAUGGGAAUAAAAUGUUCCACGUGUGGGAUUUUGUAUGUACCAUAUGAAUAAGGAUCGGCUAACUCCGUGCCAGCAGCCGCGGUAAUACGGAGGAUCCGAGCGUUAUCCGGAUUUAUUGGGUUUAAAGGGAGCGUAGGUGGAUUGUUAAGUCAGUGGUGAAAGUUUGCGGCUCAACCGUAAAAUUGCAGUUGAAACUGGCAGUCUUGAGUACAGUAGAGGUGGGCGGAAGUCGUGGUGUAGCGGUGAAAUGCUUAGAUAUCACGAAGAACGCCGAUUGCGAAGGCAGUUCACUGGACUGCAACUGACACUGAGGCUCGAAAGUGUGGGUAUCAAACAGGAUUAGAUACCCGUGUAGUC